Molecule: transfer RNA, 73 nt
Filed under: Planctomycetota bacterium
Lineage: Bacteria; Pseudomonadati; Planctomycetota
Also listed under: 1 other name
Description: tRNA-Arg
Rfam family: tRNA
About the family: Transfer RNA (tRNA) molecules are approximately 80 nucleotides in length. Their secondary structure includes four short double-helical elements and three loops (D, anti-codon, and T loops).
Source: RNAcentral
GAUCCCGAAGCUCAAACGGAAGAGCGCCUCGCUGCGAACGAGGAGGUUGGUCGUUCGAGUCGGCCCGGGAUCG